AGUGAACGCUGGCGGUAUGCCUAAUACAUGCAAGUCGAACGGCAACACAGUAAGCUUUCUCUUUUACGGUUGGCGAGUGGCGGAUGAGUGAGGCAUACAUCGGAUUCUUCUUUUUCUUGGGUGAUAACGUAGGACAACUUACGCUAAUACAGCAUAUGAUCUACCGCUUAAAUCAGUAGAUCUUCGGACUUUUCGUGUCUGUUUGAGCCGAUGCCGGAUUAGCUAGUUGACGUGGUAAAGGCCCACCUAGGCAACGCUCCGUAGCUGAUCUGAGAGGAUGAUCGGCCACACUGGAACUGAGACACGGUCCAGACUCCUACGGGAGGCAGCAGUGGGGAAUAUUGCACAAAGGGCGAAAGCCUGAUCGAGCCAUGCCGCGUGGGUGAUGAAGGCCUUCGGAUUGUAAAGCCCUUUUGUUGGGAAAGAAAAGCUGCGUGUUAAUACCUCGAUGUUCUGACGGUACCCAAAGAGUAAGCACCGGCUAACUUCGUG
This 492-nucleotide ribosomal RNA is filed under the name uncultured bacterium. Its description in RNAcentral is "partial 16S ribosomal RNA". It matches the Rfam family "Bacterial small subunit ribosomal RNA", at positions 29 to 507 of the family's 1533-position model. The record is from RNAcentral.